Bradysia coprophila is the source of this 854-nucleotide long non-coding RNA. RefSeq lists it as uncharacterized. Lineage: Eukaryota; Metazoa; Arthropoda; Insecta; Diptera; Sciaridae. The record is from RefSeq and is a predicted model, not a curated record.
UAUUGACAGGACAAAAAAUCUACCGCGCUGUUGACAAUAAUUUUUAGUUAAAUAAUCACCAUUCACGAGAUUAUUCGACAUUAUUAAGAUGCGGAUGGUCUUGUGUUGUCGAUAACAAAUGUAAUUCCACUUGUUGAAUGUUGUGCCGCUCUACCAUAGGAGUCAAAAUUAUUGCACACAAACAGUGGUGGUGUGACGAUAUGGGAGCCCUAACAUCGCUUUUUUGUGUGAUCACGAUCAGUUUGUUUUGUCGCCUUUGAGGAAGAAUUUUAAAAACAAAUAAAAAGUGAUGAACAAAGCUUAUGAGACUAGAGUUAAAUUUUGGUCAGAACAAUUCGAAAAAGCAAGCAAACUUACCGGUUUAAAUUUUUUAUUUUCAUGAACCUUCAGAUAAAAGUGAUUUUCUUGAGAUAGCAAAAAGUUAAUUCUUAAUUCAACAACAUUAAUAAAAAGUGAUUUUUUGAGAUAACCAACAAAUUACAACGAAAAUUGUGAGCUUUGUCUGUUAUCAUUUUUGUAUCGGAAUUCAUUAUUUUCAACAACAGAUGCCGAGGAAUUUGACAGAUUAAAUACUAACACUUUGUGGUCGAUAACUUCUACUUUGAAACGCCACCCUCCUGUACCAACGUGAGGUCUACCGUGAGAGUUACGUUCAGGUAACCCGAGCGACCCGAUCAACUCGAAGAUGCUUCCCUUUGGACUACACUAAGGUUCAUCGCAGACGUUGUUUUCAACUAAUGGAUUCAGAUGCAUUUGUCGUAACCAUUUUACUCGCAAAUUAGUUGUCAAAAAUUAUUGUUAUGUAAACAGUUCAAAUGAAACAAAUAAAUUGUGCGACAAUUCUUACAUCACUC